This 1031-nucleotide long non-coding RNA is filed under the name Mytilus galloprovincialis (Mediterranean mussel). The record is from RNAcentral. Lineage: Eukaryota; Metazoa; Mollusca; Bivalvia; Mytilida; Mytilidae.
AAAAUCAUCAAUCCCAAUCAUUGAAAAAAUAACAAACUAAAUCUUCACAGUAAUCUACCAUCAAUUAAAUAGAAAAUAUUACCAGAAAAACUUCUUUAACAUACUUUAUUUAUUAUGAUUAAUCAUGUUAAUUGUGGAAACUUGUGUGUUUUUUCUUCAAAAAGAAUGUCUGUCUAUUUUACAACCAGUCUUAAUUGAUUUAAAUAAUGUGGUUGCAAAAUUGAAAUUCAAUGUAACUGCCAGAGGUAUUGACCAGUGGGAUGGACAGUUGUUUUAAUUUUUGGGCAGAGGGGGUUACUGGUCUUUUUUUUCUAGUGUACAUGUUUCUAUAUAGAAUCAUAGAAGUUAUACAAUUGAAGUUUUAAGAAAAUAAUUAGAAUUCAAUAAUGUUCUUUGAUUCAGUUGCAGCAAGCAGAAAUCUCUUAACAAGAAGACCCUCACAUGAAGCCAAAUCAGAGGUAGAAAUUUUUAUCAACCUUAAAAUCCUAGAUCUGUGAAUUAAGUUAUGGACAACACUUGAACAUUAAAGUUUAUCAGUUAUACAAUAUGAUAAAAUGAAAGCACUAAGUUUUCAUGCACCAAUACUUUACAGCACUUUUAUAACAAUAAAUAGCUCUGCUUAUCAAUUUGUUUUUUUGAGAGUAAUCAAUUGAAAUCUUGUCAAAAUAUUGAACAAUAAUUUAAAUACCUAUUUUGUUAUUGCAAAACCCAAUUGAACUUUUAAUUGUUGAAACUUUGGUGUAUGUUAAAUUAAUGGAAUAUACCUUUUAACCAUAUAUUUGUGAAGACAAGGCACCUUGGAAAAUGGCAAAAAAUAAUCCUACACUCCAUAUAAAAUAAAGAAUAUUUUAACUCACAUUUUAAGACAUGUAAGGAACAUAUAUCUACAGCUGAAAUCCAUAUGAACUUAUUUUAUGAUUCUAUCUGCUAGUUUAAUUUUUGCUUUAUAGAUAACUUUUGCUAUAACAAUUGAUGCUCUUAAGGAAUUGAACCAUUGUUUUUUUCAUUCAUUGAAAUUAAGUGAAUUGCAU